RNAcentral lists this ribosomal RNA (498 nucleotides) under uncultured bacterium. Its description in RNAcentral is "bacterial SSU rRNA". It matches the Rfam family "Bacterial small subunit ribosomal RNA", at positions 903 to 1397 of the family's 1533-position model. The record is from RNAcentral.
AAAUGAAUAGACGGGCACCCGCACAAGCGGUGGAGCAUGCCGUUUAAUUCGAAGAUACGCGAAGAACCUUACCUGGGCUUGACAUCCCGAUGAAAACUUUUGGAAACAUUAGUCCUCUACUUCGGUAGACAUCGGUGACAGGUGGUGCAUGGUUGUCGUCAGCUCGUGUCGUGAGAUGUUCGGUUAAGUCCGAUAACGAGCGCAACCCCUGUCUUUAAUUGCUAACAUUAAGUUGAGAACCUUAAAGAUACUGCCGAUAACAAAUCGGAGGAAGGUGGGGAUGACGUCAAAUCAUCAUGCCCCUUACGUCCAGGGCUACAGGCGUGCUACAAUGGCUGGUAUAAAAAGACGCGAUACCGUGAGGUGGAGCAAAUCUCCAAAGCCAGUCUCAAUACGGAUUGAAGUCUGCAACUCGACUUCAUGAAGCUGGAAUCGCUAGUAAUCCUGAAUCAGAAUGUCAGGGUGAAUACGUUCCCGGGUGUUGUACACACCGCCCGU